GUGGGCAAUCUGCCCUAAAGACUGGGAUACCACUUGGAAACAGGUGCUAAUACCGGAUAACAACAUGAAUCGCAUGAUUCAAGUUUGAAAGGCGGCGUAAGCUGUCACUUUAGGAUGAGCCCGCGGCGCAUUAGCUAGUUGGUGGGGUAAAGGCCUACCAAGGCAAUGAUGCGUAGCCGAGUUGAGAGACUGAUCGGCCACAUUGGGACUGAGACACGGCCCAAACUCCUACGGGAGGCAGCAUG
RNAcentral lists this ribosomal RNA (245 nucleotides) under uncultured bacterium. RNAcentral describes it as "partial 16S ribosomal RNA". It matches the Rfam family "Bacterial small subunit ribosomal RNA", at positions 117 to 353 of the family's 1533-position model. The record is from RNAcentral.